RNAcentral lists this transfer RNA (85 nucleotides) under Felis catus (domestic cat). It matches the Rfam family "tRNA". From Rfam's summary of the family: Transfer RNA (tRNA) molecules are approximately 80 nucleotides in length. Their secondary structure includes four short double-helical elements and three loops (D, anti-codon, and T loops). The record is from Rfam by way of RNAcentral. Lineage: Eukaryota; Metazoa; Chordata; Mammalia; Carnivora; Felidae.
GCCUGGGUGGUUCUGUCGGUUAAGCAUCUGACUUCAGCUCAGGUCAUGAUCUCACAGUUUGUGGGUUCAAGCCCCACAUCGGGCU